RNAcentral lists this long non-coding RNA (881 nucleotides) under Gossypium barbadense (sea-island cotton). Its description in RNAcentral is "long non-coding RNA (GBAR_LNC016765)". The record is from RNAcentral. Lineage: Eukaryota; Viridiplantae; Streptophyta; Magnoliopsida; Malvales; Malvaceae.
CGCGAGAAAACUUACUCUCACUUACUCUUGGAAUUUAGAGUAGGAAUUUAGGCUACCACUAAAUUCUCAUCAAUUAAACAAUGAAUCAUCUACGAGCAACAAUUUCAAACCACAAUGAAUCGAGAGCUCAAACUAGCUCUUCCUCUAACUCGUAGAAGGCUUUAAUGAAUCCGAGGCUUCACACAUGACAAUCACACAAUACUCACAGUCAAAUGACAGCCAAGGACCCACUUAAACUAACCAAAAUAAAAGCCUAAGCUACCUUCUAAUGUAACCAAACCCUUUAGCAUGACGAACUUAAAAUGCAAAUAUAUCAAUCUACACUUAAACAUUUUCACAUGAAACAAGUUUCAGUCAUCCCCCAUAUUCAUUUAUAGCUAAACUCCAAUCUUUAAACCACACAAAACUACAAGUUUCAAGGUAUAACAUUUUUCCACAAAUUUUGACCAUAAUAAUGAAAAUUCAUUAAAACACGGGAAAUCUAUAAUGAAACUUAGAAGUAAUUUUAAAAAACUUCUAAUUAAGUUAAAACAAGUUGAAAAACACUUUUAAAUCACUUUUUCAUCCACAAUCUCGAAUUCCACCAUUAAUGACCCAAUUUUUAGGUUUAAAUUAAAACAUGCAAUUUCAUAACUAAAAUCUCAAUUUUAAAGUCUAGAUAACAUUAAAAACUAAUGAGAAAGUAAAUGGUUACCUUUGAUGAAAGAUUAAACGAGUUUUGAAGUAAAUUUGAAAAACCCACAAUUGAAGAAGAAGAUGAAAUCUAUGGCGUUUUUGAGUGUUUUUCUUGGAAUUAUAAGAAAUCAAAGUACUAUUGUUUGGGAAUAAAAAUUAAUUGAAAGAUCAAGGGAAUAGCAAAGGACGGCAAUAGCAAACUUUGG